This 2570-nucleotide long non-coding RNA is filed under the name Ovis aries (sheep). Its description in RNAcentral is "lncRNA (ENSOARG00000025412.1)". Lineage: Eukaryota; Metazoa; Chordata; Mammalia; Artiodactyla; Bovidae. The record is from RNAcentral.
AUGCGCCUUGGCUUCUCCGGCCUCUACCUAAAACGUCUGUGGGGCAUGGUUGAGUGGAUGAGGCGGACUGCGGAGGCGACAGUUGGGCAAGAGGUAUAUCUGAGAAGCAGCAAGUGGGAGCCCAGACGGCGCGACCAGCCCAGCACGCGGGGGAGCAGUCAGGCGCUGCCUUCCCAGUCAGAUAUUACUUCAAAAGCACAGUUACUCUAUUGCUCAGGCAAUGGUUCAGGACACUGGAUCACUGUGAAGACCUCGAGGGUAAUGAGAUUUCGGGGACUGGGACUUCAGGGUUUACACCUUCUGCCAACCACUUCUGUCUUAGAAACGGACGUUUCAUGUCCCUCAGCAGAAGGCUGCCUGAUCGGAAGAGGAAUGGGACAGUGUCUGUUUGCUGCCAUCACCAAGAAAGUUCCCACCACCCUAUAUCCAGGCUGAAAUCUGAUGGGUGGGAGAAUUUUGUUUUCCAAGUACCCUCCAUGACAGCUGGCAGAGAAGCAGCAAUAAACAAGGCAGAGACACCAACACCCAAAAAGGGAGACACACCCACCUGAACACAGCAGGCAGCCACAGCUCCUCCAUCCUGUUGGGGAUGUCAGGCGAGUGUAUUUUCCUCGGUUCUGUCUCGUCUCAACAAAAAUUUGAAGCGACGGACGUUAGAGCCCUCGGCGUGUCAUAGCUGUCGGACAGACUGUGUUAAAGCUCUCAGGUCUCGAACAGACCAUGUUUUAGCUCUUAAACAGAUCAGUGUUACAGCUCUGUGUUACAGCUCAAUUUUAUUUAGAAAAUGUCAGGAAAAUACAUCCUCGCGGCGUGAGGGCAUGCCGAUCCAAAGACGUGAAGAGAGGAGAGAGCCCUGGCCCUUUGGCUCCUCUUUUUCUGUUUUUCCUCCCCCUGGGCCUGCCCUCUGUAAAUUGGGCUAGCCAGGAGUGCUUUGUUCUUCCUGAGGUCCUCACUCCGGUCCUCGGACCUUCUUUUGAACUUCCUUUGUUCUAUUUUUGCUGGCUUUCCCCUUCGUGUUGUCUUUUAGCCACACAAUUUUGGACUCCUGUGUCCUAUUCUAACUGCCUAAGAGGGAUACCUUAAUUCUUUACCCACACAGAUCCUGAGUCUCAGUUUUCUGAGCAGGAUGGAGAAGGAGCCCCUGAAUCUGCACGGGCCCAUUUACCAAGAGAUUCACAUAGAACCAGGCCCUCCCUCAACCUAAACCAUCUCCAGUGUCCUUCACUGAUUCUUUGAACAACGCUUCAUUAAGUACCAAGCAUCAGGGACAUUAUAAUAAAUAGACAGACAAGGUCCCUAUUCUCAGUGGGGGAGGCAGGCGGUAAUGGAAUAAAUGAACAGCAACAGAUCAACAAUGUAAUUCAGACAUGCAACAAAAUGAAGAUGACGGAACAGAGACUGGUGAUAGUGCCCACAACGCUAGAAAGGGGAAUUAAGGAAAGCCUGUUGAAGGUGCUGAUGUUGAGCGUGGACUUUCAUGACAGGAAGGCAACAGCCAUUCCAAACUGGAGGGGAGUGCUCUCCAAGCAGAGGGGAGAGAAGAAACAAAGUCCCUAAGCAGAAACAAGCAAACUUAAAAGGAGAGAGGAGACCUAUGCAAGCAGUCAGAGCUGCUGUGAGGCAGGUGGGAGGCAGCAGACCCUGAACAUGAAGAUCUUGUAGGAUUUCACUGUAAAUGUGAUGAGUCCUUUUCCAAGGAACUCCCCCUUGUCUGUUAGUGAUGCUAAAAACCUAAAAACCCAAGGAAGGAGGGGAAGGAAGCCUGAUUCACUAGGGAUGACAGUGACCAGAGCCAGAGCAUCCUUCCAGGGAGGAAGGGUCUGCUGCUUGGCUCCCAGGCCUGGGGAGUAUCACGGGGGGAAAUGGCAACAGAAGCGGAGUAAGAAGAGAGACACCAGGAGCUGAGCGAGGGUUGAGAGCAGAUCUUACUCGGGAGCUUAGAGCGAAGGGCCAUGAGCAGCCCCCAGGAGCCAGGGCGCUUGGAAGAGGGGGACAGAGGAUUUAAGAAAGUUGGGUUUUCAUGCAGCUUAAUUUCCCUUGGUCAUCCUCUUAAGAAGGCCUUGUGUUAAUAGUUGUUCAGUUCAGUUGCUCAGUCAUGUCCAACUCUUUGAGACCCCAUGAAUCGCAGCACACCAGGCCUCCCUGUCCAUCACCAACACCCGGAGUUCACUCAGACUCACAUCCAUUGAGUCAGUGAUGCCAUCCAGCCAUCUCAUCCUCUAUCGUCCCCUUCUCCUCCUGCCCCAAAUUCCUCCCAGCAUCAGAGUCUUUUCCAGUGAGUCAACUCUUCGCAUAAGGUGGCCAAAGUACUGGAGCUUCAGCUUUAGCAUCAUUCCUUCCAAAGAAAUCCCAGGGCUGAUCUCCUUCAGAAUGGACUGGUUGGAUCUCCUUGCAGUCCAAGGGACUCUCAAGCAAAAGCAUCAAUUCUUCAGCGCUCAGCUUUCUUCACAGUCCAAUUCUCAACGUCCAUACAUGACCACAGGUAAAACCAUAGCCUUGACUAGAUGGACCUUAGUUGGCAAAGUAAUGUCUCUGCUUUUCAAUAUGCUAUCUAGGUUGGUCAUAACUUU